GAUUUCAUUUCAUGACACACACAGAUGGACCUACGUGUCAGGUCGCUAUAAAAGGUUAGUCACGGAAACUACUGCUAUUACACCUUCAUCGAAACGACAAAACUAAAGGGUCUUAAUUACUGUGUUAUCAUGAAAGCCUGGUUGGUCGCUGUUUUAGCAGUUGGUCUACUCUUCGUCUUUGGUGUGACGGCAGACGAGAUUCAGGGAGACGAUGUAGAAUUUGAAUUAAAAAAAAAAAGGGACUGUAUAGGCUUUUGGGAAGUGUGCAAGGGACAUUCUGAGUGCUGUACAGGAAGAUGUGCUGACUGGCUGCGACCAGGAGAUAUCGGCGCCUGCAACCUUGGGUAAACUAGAGGAAGAGACGCAUCAAAACGCCUUGCCUUUCCUCGCCCGAGUUAAUAAAGGAUCACAUUUAAAAAUGUUAAAGGCAUAUAUAUAGAGAAACAAAGAUGAGCUUUGAAA
Molecule: long non-coding RNA, 462 nt
Organism: Lineus longissimus
Lineage: Eukaryota; Metazoa; Nemertea; Pilidiophora; Heteronemertea; Lineidae
Exons: 3
Source: RefSeq, a predicted model, not a curated record